RNAcentral lists this ribosomal RNA (527 nucleotides) under Fusarium proliferatum. Its description in RNAcentral is "eukaryotic LSU rRNA". The stretch from base 180 to 333 matches the Rfam family "5.8S ribosomal RNA". Lineage: Eukaryota; Fungi; Ascomycota; Sordariomycetes; Hypocreales; Nectriaceae. The record is from RNAcentral.
UUCCGUAGGUGAACCUGCGGAGGGAUCAUUACCGAGUUUACAACUCCCAAACCCCUGUGAACAUACCAAUUGUUGCCUCGGCGGAUCAGCCCGCUCCCGGUAAAACGGGACGGCCCGCCAGAGGACCCCUAAACUCUGUUUCUAUAUGUAACUUCUGAGUAAAACCAUAAAUAAAUCAAAACUUUCAACAACGGAUCUCUUGGUUCUGGCAUCGAUGAAGAACGCAGCAAAAUGCGAUAAGUAAUGUGAAUUGCAGAAUUCAGUGAAUCAUCGAAUCUUUGAACGCACAUUGCGCCCGCCAGUAUUCUGGCGGGCAUGCCUGUUCGAGCGUCAUUUCAACCCUCAAGCCCCCGGGUUUGGUGUUGGGGAUCGGCGAGCCCUUGCGGCAAGCCGGCCCCGAAAUCUAGUGGCGGUCUCGCUGCAGCUUCCAUUGCGUAGUAGUAAAACCCUCGCAACUGGUACGCGGCGCGGCCAAGCCGUUAAACCCCCAACUUCUGAAUGUGACCUCGGAUCAAUACGACCCCAUC